CAAAUACGUGCCGCUGUCUCCCUCUUUUGCACCUCUGUGCUGUAUUCUGGUUGAUGUAUUAAUAAGAAUACAAAAAAAGUAAUUAACAAAGCAAAAAUAAAUUUACGUAGGUGUGCCUGCUCUCUCUCGGGUUCAGAGGCACGAGAUCUAGAGUACCCUUAGUAGCUCAGUCCCAGUCAGCAGCAGAAGACGUAGCCGUGAGUCCUCCACAGUUGGGGAUAUGUCCUAUCAACUCCACAGUUAUGAUAGUUUAGAGGCUUUUUGGACAGAUGUAUCAAUAUUCAACUUUCAGUUUUGAGUAUUCUAGACGUUUUGAACCU
Long non-coding RNA from Capsicum annuum, 320 nucleotides. RefSeq lists it as uncharacterized. The transcript is spliced from 2 exons. The record is from RefSeq and is a predicted model, not a curated record. NCBI's taxonomy places the organism in Eukaryota, Viridiplantae, Streptophyta, Magnoliopsida, Solanales, Solanaceae.